Molecule: ribosomal RNA, 497 nt
Filed under: uncultured bacterium
Lineage: Bacteria
Description: partial 16S ribosomal RNA
Rfam family: Bacterial small subunit ribosomal RNA
Source: RNAcentral
GAUGAACGCUGGCGGCGUGCCUAAUACAUGCAAGUCGAGCGAACAGACGAGGAGCUUGCUUCUCUGACGUUAGCGGCGGACGGGUGAGUAACACGUGGAUAACCUACCUAUAAGACUGGGAUAACUUCGGGAAACCGGAGCUAAUACCGGAUAAUAUAUUGAACCGCAUGGUUCAAUAGUGAAAGACGGUUUUGCUGUCACUUAUAGAUGGAUCCGCGCCGCAUUAGCUAGUUGGUAAGGUAACGGCUUACCAAGGCAACGAUGCGUAGCCGACCUGAGAGGGUGAUCGGCCACACUGGAACUGAGACACGGUCCAGACUCCUACGGGAGGCAGCAGUAGGGAAUCUUCCGCAAUGGGCGAAAGCCUGACGGAGCAACGCCGCGUGAGUGAUGAAGGUCUUCGGAUCGUAAAACUCUGUUAUUAGGGAAGAACAAAUGUGUAAGUAACUAUGCACGUCUUGACGGUACCUAAACAGAAAGCCACGGCUAACUACGUG